Long non-coding RNA from Cebus imitator (Panamanian white-faced capuchin), 601 nucleotides. RefSeq lists it as uncharacterized. The record is from RefSeq and is a predicted model, not a curated record. NCBI's taxonomy places the organism in Eukaryota, Metazoa, Chordata, Mammalia, Primates, Cebidae. The transcript is spliced from 3 exons.
GGACCACCCACGGAAUCAGGGAGCAUUCCUGAACCCCAUUUACCCUCUAUUUGGAUAGAAAGUAAAGGGACCUGACCCAUAACGAGGGGAGGAAGAAAAUGAGCCAAGCCAGUAGCCCAUUUGUGUUAUGAGCACCCUCCUGGGCUCACGUGUCCUGAGCCCAGCACAGACCAGGGGAUGUCUGAAUACAAGACUAGGGAAUUUGAGAAGAAGGAAUGAUGACAUUCAUCUGGAAGGGCAGAGAAGACUUCCUGAAGGAGAUGGCAUUUCUUCUGGGCCUCAUGGAUGUGCCUGACUUAAAAAUGUGGAACCAGGUUGGGGAGAGCAUUCUAGGUGGAAAAAGAGUCUCAUCUAAAUGAACGUGCUCUUCUCUCCAACAUUUUCCUGUUGUCUUUUCAACUGCCUCAAGGCAGGACUGUGAUCUUCCCCUACCUUUGUAAUGGUGGGCCUUAGAGCCUGAGGACCUUGCCCAGGGAGGGCCCCACCCUGUACACGGGUACGGGGAAGGGACACUGACAUCAUGAAGCUUCCAUAAGAAGUCAGAGGGUUGGGAGGCCAAGGCGGGCAGAUCAUCUGAGGUCGGGAGUUCGUGACCAGCCUG